This 434-nucleotide ribosomal RNA is filed under the name uncultured bacterium. RNAcentral's name for it is "bacterial SSU rRNA". It matches the Rfam family "Bacterial small subunit ribosomal RNA", at positions 355 to 786 of the family's 1533-position model. The record is from RNAcentral.
UAAGGAAUAUUGGUCAAUGGAGGCAACUCUGAACCAGCCAUGCCGCGUGCAGGAAGACAGCCCUCUGGGUCGUAAACUGCUUUUAUUCGGGAAUAAACCUCAUUAUGUGUAAUGAGCUGAAUGUACCGAAGGAAUAAGGAUCGGCUAACUCCGUGCCAGCAGCCGCGGUAAUACGGAGGGUGCGAGCGUUGUCCGGAUUUAUUGGGCGUAAAGAGCUCGUAGGCGGUUUGUCGCGUCGGCCGUGAAAACUCAACGCUUAACGUUGAGCUUGCGGUCGAUACGGGCAGACUUGAGUUCGGUAGGGGAGACUGAAUUCCUGGUGUAGCGGUGAAAUGCGCAGAUAUCAGGAGGAACACCGGUGGCGAAGGCGGGUCUCUGGGCCCGAUACUGACGCUGAGGAGCGAAAGCGUGGGGAGCGAACAGGAUUAGAUACC